Cyanistes caeruleus (blue tit) is the source of this 2325-nucleotide long non-coding RNA. RefSeq lists it as uncharacterized. NCBI's taxonomy places the organism in Eukaryota, Metazoa, Chordata, Aves, Passeriformes, Paridae. The record is from RefSeq and is a predicted model, not a curated record.
GAACACCCCAUUCUCUGUGGUUUCUAUUCUGCAGUGAAGGUGGGAACUUCCAUGGCAGAUUUUCACCUCAAUUCCAAGCCUGAAGCAGAACUCAGGGGCGUCAGGGCAUACAAAGCAAGGAGCAACUCGUGUCUCUCACCCCAAAUCCCACUUUCCAUCCCUGCCUCCAUCAAAGGCCCCAUUCCUGCAAGUCCAAGAGCAAAGGAAAGAGCAAGUCCAGCAGCAAAGAACCUUUUUCCCUCCCCUCUCUUUGCAGCAAAGGAACAGGUACCCAGAGAUAAUGGAACGCUGGAGGAUAUUAUGACCAUGAAACAUGAAGAAGAAGGGAAAGAAGUCAUUUCCAUUUAUAGUGUAAAGUAAACAUCGGAGAUAAUAAACUGGCCAAUGUAACCAGGCUGAGAAUUGGAAAUGGAACAGAAGAAGAAGAAGAGGGAUCCCAUUUUUAAAGGCUUAUUGGUUAUUUAUGUAGAUGCUGGAAGUUAUAAAAGGAAGAAAAACAAUCUUGUGAUAAAAGCUGCUUAUUGGAACUAAAUCUGAAUUCCCAUCCUGACUGCUCUGAGAUGAGGCUGUGGAAGUUCUGUCAAGUGCCUGUGCUAAAACUCCCCGGCCAUAAAAUGGGAAGAAUAUUUCUUUCUCUGCCCAACUUCCCCUCCUCUGCACAUUUCCAGUGGCACAAAGGCAACAGAUAUCUUCCACAAUGACAAAAUAAUGGCCCCUGGUCUUUGGAGAAGAGUUUUUCAUCUUUAUUUGCACUUCUAUGAAUUGCUCUUUAGUUUCUUUUAGAGAUUAACACACGAGAGUUUACUUCAGUUUGCUGUCACACUCUUUGGAGCAUUUUUAAACAUUCUCAAAUAAUUCCAGGAGGUUUAGGGAUGUGGCAUUGCUAAACUGGUUCCAGGUGAGAAUGGCACCAUGGCAAAUUGUCCUCCCUUCCUGUGGAAUGAGACUUCAAUAUGGAAAAGGGGUGAGGUUGGGUGAGGGGUUAAAAACAGCACAAAGCACUGCAGCUUUCCUUCUCCACUGAUUUUCUGUGUAAAGAUUUUCAAGUCCUAUAUUUGAUUUUGCUGCCCUGCUGUAUCAGUUUUCUGGGCCUGUUGGUGAUUUCCCCUUGAGCAGAUCCUCAACUCUCCUCAGAAAAAAAAGCCAAGUUCAUUUGUGUCACCCAACACCAGGCAAUUGCCAAGUUAGAGGAAUAAUGUUAUUUUAAUCAAACCACCAAACCAGAUUGAAGCCAACAGCUGUAACAAUGAAAGGAAGCUGAAAACCAUUAUCCAAUUUACCAGGCAUCAGUGAGCAGCUACAACUCCGAGCUGCACUCCUGCAGCUUGGCUUUAACUCCUGGUAAAGAAUUCACUGCUUCAUUGCUGAUGAUCCAAAAAGGGCAAAUUGCUUUGCUUUCCUUUAAAAAUCACAUGCUGGAAAAGGAAAUGAGGCAAGAAGUCAAAGGCAGCAUCUGAGUGACUCUUGCAGCAUCACUAAGGAACAUCCUGUAAAUCUGUUCCUCCUGAUGCCUUCUCAUUUAAACACAAAGCCCUGCUGAUGCUCCUUUUGCUCAGGCCCUUUGGAAAGGCUCAAGUUGCCAUGGCAAUCUGCAUCUCCAGGCAGCGCAGCCCACCGCAUCCCCACGGCAUUCCUGGCGAGCAGCAUGGCUCUGGGGCUUGGAAACACCUCCAGGGAUUAACUGGGCUCACUCUUUCAGAUGGUUUGUUGCUGCUCUCCCGGAUCAGCUGUGUGGAGAGGAACUGCUCCUGCUGUCCUUUUCUCUUGCCUGUACAUCCUGUCCCUGGGGAAGCUCAUUCAGCAGCACCAGCUCAGCUCUGCUGACAGCUUGCAGAUCUGCCUCUCCCCCUAAUGAAAAUUACAUCAGCUCCAACGAUUAAAUCUCUUUGGGGAUGGAAUUUUCAGAACUGGUUAUUGGCUUGGAAACAGAUUAGCAGAUAUUUGCCUGCCCAUCACCAUCCCUAGGUAUAAAUUUCUGACCCUUGCUUGAUAUCCAUGACUGGUGAGUGCUUAACAUGCAGCAUAACCCCACCUGUGACAGGAUUCAUGGCUUAAUCACCAGCACCCAGAAAUGUGGCCCAAUUCUCUUUUCAAAGAAUAUCUUGCUUGUCCUUCGUGCAUUCCAAGUGUACAGACUCCAGGAAAGGAAAAAGAGCACGUGAGGAUCCCCUACAUUUUGUCCAUGAAUUUGAACAAAUCUAAUCUCUUUCCUGUGCUAUUUCUCUUCCUAAACAAGGCUGACAUUUAUUUGCUUAAAUAUCCUUUCAGUUAACAGGUACCUGUCCAGUAUUUGAUCACAACUAUAAAUAAAAGAGGGGUAACAUA